Molecule: long non-coding RNA, 2625 nt
Organism: Myotis brandtii (Brandt's bat)
Lineage: Eukaryota; Metazoa; Chordata; Mammalia; Chiroptera; Vespertilionidae
Exons: 2
Source: RefSeq, a predicted model, not a curated record
AGGAAGAGAUGCAGGGAUAAGGGAGGGGAGGGACAGGACAGAGCAGGUGGGGUGUGAGAACACUGGCCGUCAGCCGCAGUCACACUUCACGCGUGGUCAAAUGAAAAGCCACCACGCUCAGAUUGCACUGGCACCGAAACAGACUUGUUGAGUGACAGAAAAUGAGACACUGUGACAGGAUACACUGUAUUAGAUGAGACAAAGCAAAGAACAUAAGCUUGUGUUUAUUCAGUUCCAUAAAGGGAAAUGUUCCAGAAUUGUUUUGGUUCCUUUUUUUUUGGGGGGGGGGGGUCUGGUUCUUUCUCUUACGUUAUUAUAAUAGGAUAUGAGAGACAGUAUAAGGGGCUAUUAGCAUAUAAAUUAUGGAUCGAGUGAUUAUGGUAUUUUGCGAUUCGUGUUGCAGUCUGGUCUUUAGUAUUUUUGAGGCUCGUAACUGCAUGGCCCUCUGUCUCACUCACAAGACAGACAUAUGCAUGUGGUGUGGGAAGCCUAUUAGGCGCAGCAAGGAUUGCGGGAGACGGAGCGCUAGAGCCUCGCCCGCAUGUUGCAGGCAUGUGACUCGUGUCUCGUCUCCUUGGGAAAGAAGCACGUCUCUUCCGCUCACAACUUCAGGGUCUCAGGGAAGAAAUCUGGCCCCCUUUCAAGAUGACUGGUUUGGGAUUACUGUACCACAGACUCUUUCUUUGUUCCUCCAGGCAAUUUCUCUCGGAUUUCCUUAGGUAGCCCACGGACUGUUUUUCUAGAAAUCCCUUAGCGUUAAUUGAACAUGACCAGAAGCAUCUGGCUGUCGUCUCCUUCAUAGGGAAUUGCACUGAGAGAGUCUCUCUCUAGCUACCGCUCUUCCCGUCACACUGCAUCUCAUUUAGCUGCGAGUCUGCUGUUUGCUUCCCUACUGACGUGGGGAACUUGUUACGGGAGCGAGAGAAGGACCGGGGACACACUGCAACGCCCUCUAAAGCAGGCAUAGUGUCCCGGUCCCAGUGUCAACCCCUCCUGAAGGUCAUGCAUUGUAAUGACUGCACAGUUAACUAGCGAAUGCAUCCAGCUUGCAAAGGCCAAUCAUAUAAGAUGAUUGACAGGAUGACUCCAUGUCUACUUGGCCAGCUUAUACCUGCUGAUCCGGCCUGAUUUUUCAUAGCACCUGCUUUCCCCCUGAAAAGUGACCUGGUUCUGACACUAAGUUAGAAGGUCAUCCUAAGUGUGGAUGGACAUGCUAGCUCUCUAGGUAGCUACCUGAACUGUCUUCACCUUGAGGGGCAAAGCCAGGAGGCUGGGUAGAUGUAGGUACCAGGUACCAGGCAGUUAACCUGAUUUGUUUUCUACUUUUCAUUUAUCCUGCGGACACUUAGCAUAACUUGUUUUAAAAGGUGGAAAGCACUUGAGUGUUCUCCCCUUUAUGCGUAAUCCAGAGCAGUGUGUUCUCCAGCUGGGCAGGACUGCAUCUCAUUACUUUUCAGUCCUCCAUCUUGUACUAUAUAAGUUCAACUAAUGUUUGUCCCAUGUUGGAUGGAUGAGGAAAUGCUGCUGAAUAAUGAAUGGCUGGGUGGAUACCUACAGAGGCGGGAAAGCAAGCCAGUUACCUUCUGACGUCUGCCUCGGAGAAGGAGACUCUGGGUAACGUACUUUGUAAAGAGGAGGCGAAUUCCGCCCCCCCCCCCAUACUGAGGCUCUAGUUAAGGGCGGUCAGGCCCACUUUUGACAAAAGUGAAGGGGUCCUUUGACAGUGAUGUUUCUGUGUCCCUCCUCUAUGGUUCAUGUCUUUUUUUUUUUCCAGAAGGCUAAGAAUAAACCUCCUCUCUGACAUAUUUUUUUUUUCUUAAUAAAAUAGUGCUAAUUCCAAUAUUCCCAACAUAGACCUAGAGAUAUUAGUAGUGGGAAGAUAUUUUAAAAUAUUAAAAUUAAUGUCUCCUUUUCAUGUCUAUUCAGUAGGGUCAAACAGAAAUUCCCCAAAGAGAAUUUAUACCCAGAAAAUGGAAUUCAGGUAGUCAAACAAUAUGGCUAAGUGAAUUUGCUUUAAGGAACUGAAAUAAAAAAAUGUGAAAAUUCUGUUGGGGCACAGUUCGAGUGGACAUAUUCUUCUUUAAGAGCGGCAGUGCACUGCUGUAACCUCCCCUGGGUAGACACUGCCAGAUCACUCACAGAUGAUAAUAAUUACACUCAACAGAACAGUAGCUGGUUUUGUCCGCACUGGGGAGAGGAGCACCUCAGUGAAAUGGUGCUAAUCCGCAGGAGACUAAGAAAAGGAGGUGGGGAUCGGGGAGGGGGUAGGGUAGCAGGGGUGGAGGGACCUUUGGCAAACUGUUAAGAAAUAUAAAUUCAGCUACGUUUUAUUGCUAACAUAUUUUGAAAGAGACUUUGAGUGAGACUUUUGCAUACAACUGUUUUUAAACCUGCUACAGAGAAGCAUCGAAUGGAAACUGAAAUGAUCAAAAACGUAUUUACCCCCUUCUGUGAUCUUAUUAUUUCAUGUAAACCACUGAGAUUUCACGCUGAAAUAAUUAUCAUUAGUCCAAGGCACACACGCAAGAACAGGAGAAAAGCUACUUUCAGGGUAUGUGAUCUCACCUUUGUGAGCCUUUCCAUUGGGUCGCACGCAGGCAUUGUCAGAGAAACUACUUCAAUUAA